AUGUACCCUGGCAGACCAAACAAAAGCAGCUGCCCUGUGAACGCUUUGUUUCUUUAGGACCACCGGUACUAUCAGAAGCUUUCACUCUGCCUACUCAGCUCAGUCCAACCAACCCUCAAAUCUUUUUCCUUCGAGAAACCAGGGUCAUGAUGGAGCAGCCUUCACCCUUGCUCUCUGUGAUGAGACACUGGCUUCUGUUGUCAUUGGCCUUCCUUUAGCAACUUCCCCAUGGAGAGACACGCUAUCUACAGCAUCACCUCUACAUGGGACCUGGCCAACUUGUCUUUUGCUACGAGACUGUCAGCAGUGAUUUCCAGGAAAUGAGAAAAGCAGGCAAAGAUUAAAACAAUUUACAGGUC
Long non-coding RNA from Arvicanthis niloticus (Nile rat), 359 nucleotides. RefSeq lists it as uncharacterized. The record is from RefSeq and is a predicted model, not a curated record. Lineage: Eukaryota; Metazoa; Chordata; Mammalia; Rodentia; Muridae.